This 699-nucleotide ribosomal RNA is filed under the name uncultured bacterium. Its description in RNAcentral is "bacterial SSU rRNA". It matches the Rfam family "Bacterial small subunit ribosomal RNA", at positions 135 to 854 of the family's 1533-position model. The record is from RNAcentral.
ACACACGGAUAACAUACCGAAAGGUAUGCUAAUACGGGAUAAUAUAUUUGAGAGGCAUCUCUUAAAUAUCAAAGGUGAGCCAGUACAGGAUGGACCCGCGUCUGAUUAGCUAGUUGGUAAGGUAACGGCUUACCAAGGCGACGGUCAGUAGCCGACCUGAGAGGGUGAUCGGCCACAUUGGAACUGAGACACGGUCCAAACUCCUACGGGAGGCAGCAGUGGGGAAUAUUGCACAAUGGGCGAAAGCCUGAUGCAGCAACGCCGCGUGAGUGAUGAAGGCCUUCGGGUCGUAAAACUCUGUCCUCAAGGAAGAUAAUGACGGUACUUGAGGAGGAAGCCCCGGCUAACUACGUGCCAGCAGCCGCGGUAAUACGUAGGGGGCUAGCGUUAUCCGGAUUUACUGGGCGUAAAGGGUGCGUAGGCGGUCUUUCAAGUCAGGAGUGAAAGGCUACGGCUCAACCGUAGUAAGCUCUUGAAACUGGGAGACUUGAGUGCAGGAGAGGAGAGUGGAAUUCCUAGUGUAGCGGUGAAAUGCGUAGAUAUUAGGAGGAACACCAGUUGCGAAGGCGGCUCUCUGGACUGUAACUGACGCUGAGGCACGAAAGCGUGGGGAGCAAACAGGAUUAGAUACCCUGGUAGUCCACGCUGUAAACGAUGAGUACUAGGUGUCGGGGGUUACCCCCUUCGGUGCCGCAGCUA